GGAGAUCUGGCUGCAUUAUUUGUCAUGCCAUUGAUCAGCAACGUUGAGUUGGCUAAUCUGGCUGUGUAGGCAGGUGUUCCUUUCCUUCCAUGUUCGUCCCUCUUGAAGCUGUGUUUGGUUGACAAGUAUGCCUUUCUCCAGUAGAUAAGAGGACUGCUGCCUUGGUCAAGUGCUCCCCUGCUAAAAGGACCAUACAAGCUCUCAAAGCCAAAUGAUAGGGCUGGCCAAAUAGCUCGGCAGAUUAAAGUGUCUGCUU
This 256-nucleotide small nuclear RNA is filed under the name Octodon degus (degu). Its description in RNAcentral is "7SK RNA (ENSODEG00000022597.1)". It matches the Rfam family "7SK RNA". Rfam says of the family: 7SK was discovered as an abundant small nuclear RNA in the mid-70s but a possible function has only recently been suggested. Two independent studies have found that 7SK RNA binds the CDK9/cyclin T complex (known as elongation factor P-TEFb). Lineage: Eukaryota; Metazoa; Chordata; Mammalia; Rodentia; Octodontidae. The record is from RNAcentral.